GGUGAAGAAAAGCAAAAGUGAAGAAAACCAUCUUUUCAAAAGAGCUUUCCAUCAUUCAGGCAACAGGUCACUCAGUGAAGAAACUGUGCCAGGAGACUGGGAAUAUCUUCUAAAUCCUUAAGCAAACUGUGCUGAAAACAAACUGCUGAAAGAAAUAUAAGCAUUUGACUUUAAAAUGAUGCCUCUGGAAAAAAGGGACUACAGCAGCUGCCAGAUGUUCAUGAUCCCACCUCCCCUACUUAACAAAGGCACCUAUAUUUCACCAGAAAUAAAAUUUUAUUAGUAACAAGUCAAA
Molecule: long non-coding RNA, 295 nt
Filed under: Pongo abelii (Sumatran orangutan)
Lineage: Eukaryota; Metazoa; Chordata; Mammalia; Primates; Hominidae
Description: lincRNA
Source: RNAcentral